Small nuclear RNA from Prunus persica (peach), 196 nucleotides. It matches the Rfam family "U2 spliceosomal RNA". From Rfam's summary of the family: U2 is a small nuclear RNA (snRNA) component of the spliceosome (involved in pre-mRNA splicing). NCBI's taxonomy places the organism in Eukaryota, Viridiplantae, Streptophyta, Magnoliopsida, Rosales, Rosaceae. The record is from Rfam.
AUACCUUUCUCGGCCUUUUGGCUAAGAUCAAGUGUAGUAUCUGUUCUUAUCAGUUUAAUAUCUGAUACGUGACCCAAUGGCUCACACGAUAUUAAAUUCAUUUUUUUAGGGGAAGGGCCCACCACAGUAGCUUGCUAUUGGGGCUUUCGAGCGUCGCCCAAGCGUUGCACUAUUGCAUGGGCAUGGCGCAUCCCAU